This 252-nucleotide ribosomal RNA is filed under the name uncultured bacterium. RNAcentral's name for it is "partial 16S ribosomal RNA". It matches the Rfam family "Bacterial small subunit ribosomal RNA", at positions 524 to 776 of the family's 1533-position model. The record is from RNAcentral.
UACGGAGGGGGCUAGCGUUGUUCGGAAUUACUGGGCGUAAAGCGCGCGUAGGCGGACCUGCAAGUCGGGGGUGAAAGCCCGAGGCUCAACCUCGGAACUGCCUUCGAUACUGCGGGUCUCGAGUCCGGGAGAGGUGAGUGGAAUUCCUAGUGUAGAGGUGAAAUUCGUAGAUAUUAGGAAGAACACCAGUGGCGAAGGCGGCUCACUGGCCCGGUACUGACGCUGAGGCGCGAAAGCGUGGGAGCAAACGGG